GAUGAAGAACGUAGCGAAAUGCGAUAAGUAAUGUGAAUUGCAGAAUCCAGUGAAUCAUCGAAUCUUUGAACGCACAUUGCGCCCGCCAGCAUUCUGGCGGGCAUGCCUGUUCGAGCGUCAUUUCAACCCUCGACCUCCCUUUGGGGAAGUCGGCGUUGGGGACCGGCAGCACACCGCCGGCCCUGAAAUGGAGUGGCGGCCCGUCCGCGGCGACCUCUGCGUAGUAAUCCAACUCGCACCGGAACCCCGACGCGGCCACGCCGUAAAACACCCAACUUCUGAACGUUGACCUCGAAUCAGGUAGGACUACCCGCUGAACUUAAGCAUAUCAAUAAGCGGAGA
This 342-nucleotide unclassified non-coding RNA is filed under the name soil metagenome. RNAcentral describes it as "partial contains 5.8S ribosomal RNA, internal transcribed spacer 2, and large subunit ribosomal RNA". The stretch from base 1 to 120 matches the Rfam family "5.8S ribosomal RNA", at positions 35 to 154 of the family's 154-position model. The record is from RNAcentral.